AUAUAUCUAUAUUACUUUUUCCCCUAUAGGGUAUGAGCUUGACACGCGCCGCGCGUUUUACAUUUUGAUUGUGCAGAGCCGGCGGGAAUUGCAAUCUGCAUUUCUCUCUCUCCGUACGCAAAUCAUAAUGUAUAACGGUGGCGGUAGAAGAAGAGACGUGGAAGGAAGAAAUGGCGGUGGAAAAUGAAUAGCACGGUACCCAGGAAAGGGUUUUGCAGAAGUUCUCGUCGCAGGAGUGGUACACUCCUCCGCGACAUCAUUUCCAAUGGCCGCGACUCCUAUCGCUCCUCCGUCCACAAAAUUCGAUAUAUUGGUUUGCGGAUAAAAGGCGGUUAUCAAGUUCUUUCCGAAUCAAGUUUACGAUUUUGACCUCGCUGUUUCUCUCUUGGAGAAAUGCCAUGAUACGGUGUCAGGCAGCAGGAAAGUGCUGGAUGGAUGGAAACAAAAUGUGUGAUUCUUCUGUGGUUUUCUGUUCUCCUCUGUUGAUUCUUGUAUUGCUAAUUUAAUGAUUUUGGUAAACUUGAGGACACCCCCAUUGUUUUGACUUUUGAAGAUAUUCUCUACGGAUUACCUUUCCAAUGCAGGUCCCAUGGACACCAUGGCUAUUUGCUGUUUAUAGCUUCUAAAGCUCUCCUGAUGCCAAAGGCAUUUAUCUGGUAGAUCUCACAAUCCAUAUAACUGCUUACUUUUGAAAUUGUUUUUUUUUUUUUUUUUGCUUCUAAUUAAAUGCUACAGGUUGAUAUUGGUUGUAUAGCUACACGAUUGUAGUCCUUGCUGUUAUUAGUUCUUUGUAAAGAGAGAGUUUGUCAUGGAUGUUUAUUUUGAUUUGAAGAUUAUAUCUGAUUACAUAGAUUAUUGUUUAUGUUUGUUAUUCUUAUUUGACAUUAAAAUAACAUUUGAACAGCAUUGGAAGGAUAUUGAAUCUGUUAUCAAUUUGUUCAGUUUCAUGUCUCUUUCAAUGUUGAUAUUAUUGGCAAAGCAGAUUACUAUUGUACAUAGGUCAGCUGCUAAAGUUAUAGAGACACGACUUCCCUUUUGAUCUCAUAUCCUCUCAAAAGAGGCCAUGACAUCACGUGGAGAAGCAUGCUUGUGUUGUUACUCUUGUUAUAUUUUUUACCAACUUUGAGGUGCCGAGCAAUGUUAUUAGAAUGGUACAAUUUGAGUUGAUUCACGAGUCCAAUAUGAAUCUAUGGGUGAAUCGAAAUUAGUCAAGAAUCAAAUGUGAAUCGAUCAAAUCGGAUGAGAAUUAUAAUGAAUCAGUAUAUUCAGUUAGAUUCACUUACCCUCACUGGGAAUUUGGAUCUAGGUUAUGCUUUUCUAAUAGGAAGAUGUUUACAUCCCAAGUAGGCAAGUAACAGCAGGCUCAGGCAGAAGAAAGGUCGAGAUGACGAAAGAAAAGGAAAAAAAAGGGGAAAAGAAAGGAUGUUUUGAAAGACUUGAAGUGGGUAGGUGGAGAGAGAAAUAAAGUCGGGCUUUUGGGUUGGAGUCUUCGCGCGUUAGUAGGUUAGGUCAUAGGUGGAUGAGGUGCAGUGUAAUAUUUGAUGUAUUGUGAAUUGUGCCAUUGUGAUUGUAGAGAGAGUCAAAGUAAUGUAUUAUGUGAAUAGUGAAACUGCGAUUAUGAAUGUGCAUUAUGAUUGUGGUGAUAGAAUUGUUAAUGUGAAUUGUGAUUAUAGAAUUGUGAGUAUCAACGUUUGAUGUUUGGUACUUAACUUUAUUAUAUUUUGGUUUAUGUUACUUGAAUGUUAAUGAAUUUUUGGAUUUUUUUUCUUUUUUGCGCCUCAAGUUGCCCAGGCGUGCGCCUGCGCCUAGGCUCCAAACUCCCUUUGCGCUUUGGUGCCCCUUGAGCCUUUCACAACUAUGUGAUAUUCAAAGAGGUCCACCUUAUGUUGGGUCUCAUCAGAAGAGCAGAAACAGCUGCCAGCUUCAUUACAGGAGAAUGUCGGAGGACAACAGGAUUAUACUUAUGGCAUUAAAAGAGUGAAUACUGCAGACUUAUUUUCACUUCCAUUGUGAGUAAACUCUGACUGCCAUGUUGCUGUCUCCGAGGUUCAGUAUGAAGGCUACCUCAAUUCAUUUGCACGAGAACUGUUGUAUAGCAAGAUUGCUCAGUGGGUAUGAUGUGAUCUAGUUUUUCCUCUCUUUGCCAGAAUAACUGCUGAAUUAAAGAAUUCUGACAUAUUAUUGUCAUAACACUCGAUGGUACUUGCAUUCUUUUCCUUAGUUUUCUGUUAUCAUCUUUUGAUUACUUGGUGAUACCUUCAUUCUCUGCCUUAGGUUUCUGCUACCAUCAUUAUGAUUACAGUCGGUUUCUCUUAGUCAAAGGCUUCAGAGAACUGGCUUCAGAUGUCCUUUCAUCUUGUCAGAUAUGAUCCAAGAUUAUAGGAGGAACUGAUUCAGAGAACUGGAUUCAGGUUCGACCUUGGCUGAUGGUGAAGUUGUUUUGGCCUUUUACAUGAAUGUGCUACUCUCUCUUGUCAUUGGUUACAAGCUUAUCCGAUCCUUCCUCCAAUAAAUAGGAGAGAGAUUUGUGUUCUGCUGUUAACCCCUUCAUUGACUUCCUGCUGCAUCUGACAUCGCCAUAAAAGGAUAACCCUGAGAGCAGAGAUGUUGAGGACUCAUUUCAGACCGCAAGACAGUAAUUCAGGGAAGAGAAUAUUGAUAUUUGUUUUGGAGAGAACCUACUCAUUUCCGCUGUUAUUUUCGUAUGGCCUUACAAUAAUGGAAUUUAGGACCACGAAAACCCUCGAGCUUUCAACUUGGACCGAUGAUGCCUCUGAUAAGUUGAAGCUGGGAAAAACCAUUUAUUUGGGCUCUGAGACUUUGGUCGUGUAGGCCCUAGAGGCUCGAACUAGGAACAAGUCUACUGAAGCGCAAAAGUCUAAAUUGCACUCUAAACGCAAAAUGAGCCUGCGGGCCAAUAUUGACGGAUGGUCACUUUAACUGGGUCAAUUCCCAAAAUUCAAUUUACUAGGCUUAUCCAGGCUCAAAUCCAAUUUUAUUGGGCUUCUAUGUUU
Molecule: long non-coding RNA, 3014 nt
Organism: Manihot esculenta (cassava)
Lineage: Eukaryota; Viridiplantae; Streptophyta; Magnoliopsida; Malpighiales; Euphorbiaceae
Exons: 5
Source: RefSeq, a predicted model, not a curated record